GGGCCGUUGGAUCAAACCGACAUAGAUUGUAUGGUUUAGAUUCAUCCUUUAGGUCGGUGGAGUUCUCCCACGAAGCAGAGUCCUGAUUGGACUCAGGAGGUGGGCGGGCGCCCUGAUCACCUGGGCGGGCGCCCAGGGUCAGGCCCCGUUUCGCCUCCGCUUCGGUCUCGUGGCUUCUGGAGUCUUCUAGAUGUAAGAUAAUUGCGUGGCACGUUAAUAUCUCUAUGUAAUCCCGACGUGUGGGCCUUUCUUCCGUAUUUCCUGAUAACCCCCUGCAGAAAUAGACAAACACCAAAACUCGUAGAAUUCUGUCAGAUAAAACCCUAAGUCUAGAUGUUGAUUUUAUUUGGAUCCUUUUCUUUGUUUAUUUGAUAAUUAAAUUUGAUACUUAAGGACCGUCAACAAACUCCCCCAAGCUUACCUCUUCCUCGUCCCUGAGCAAGGAUAGACUCAACAAUGGAUUAGAAGUUUUUGCAAUAUCUUUAAAAAUUGACGGUACACAUGCUUUUUAAAUAAGAUCUCAUCUCUGAGUUAGAGUAAACUGUCAAGACUUAAAACUUACUUUACCUUCACCAUGGGACUUGUAACUGUCACUUCUGUCUUGAGAGGUUAAAAGAUAGAACAGUCUAGCCAAGUGCCAUGUCUCUUAUUCUUGAUCAACUAUAGCUCUGGGGUUUUUUCCAGAUUUUCAAAUAAAACUCAGAGAUUCCUUGUAUGACUCUCUCAUAUCUCUCUUUUGUGGUAUUUCUGGAUCCUUACCAAGGCAUUGAUGGUAUAUGCCUUCUCUCAAGAUAUGUGGUAUUUGUGGUAUAAGGCAUAGUGACAUUGCCUUCUCUCUCACCCUACUCUAAUAAGGCUUGAUAUCUGGAGCUCAUAGGUGGGAGACAGCUAAUACAUACUUACAAGACAUUUAUUGCAUAGUCAAACCAUGGAUCCAGAGAAACAAAUCAAUAAGCCAAAUCAAGAUGUGCAUGUGUGGCGAAUGAAUGAUGUAUGGUGAUGAUGGUAAUAACAAUGGUGAAAGUCUAAUUCUACUUUUGCUCUUUUGAGGGGAUACAUACCUUCCUUGCUUUUUGAAACUUUAUGAGGAGAAUGAGAUGCUCUUCUUUUUCUUUCCUCUCAGGUGGGUAUCUUGUACCCCUAAUUCUACUGUCGGACACUUGUCCAUUUUUACCUCUCAUCUCACUUUUUCUUUCUUUCGAGGUUCCGGGCACUUGCCCCUUUUUAUUUCCUUGUUUAUAUAUAUUUUUUUCUUCUCUUUUCUUUCUCUUUUUUUUUCAGAGCACUCAUCUCUUGAGAUAAUAUAGCAAGUGGUAGUAACCAAAAUAUUUGGAGCAUUUAUUUCACAGGGAAUAACAGGGAUAGGAAAAUGUUUUUGACUAUUCUCUCCCGGAUUAGGAGUAGAAUAUUUUUGGGUGAUUCUGGAGAUGGAAAUGGAUGGAUAUAUUUGGAUGGUACUUCCAGAGUAGAAGUAGCAUAUAUGAGUGAACGUGCAAGUGAAUCUUGAUUUAACCACAUGACAAGUUCCUAAGGGUCUACACAGCUUGACCACACUCAAUGCUCAUAAGCAGUAAAAAGUAAAUGUAUGGUUCAUAGUCUAAUAAGCAUGUACAUAUGGCUAUGGUAGGAUUUUAAACUCUCAUCAUAUAGGAACUCAUCAUGCAACAUUUCAAAGAUUUUCAAAGAUAAAAUUCUUCAGAAUUCUAGCAUCUCUAGGAACAGAUAAACAGCAGCUCAACCUUCCCAUAUCGUAUCCGUUAACAACUUAGACUUCAGAUCAAGUUUUCAUCCCACAAGUUUAGGUCUAGAGCAAGAUUUAAAUUAUAACAGUUAUGUCUAAACUUGAGAGGGAACUUUAAAAUUCCAAAUUAGGCAGAACAACUAUUCAUCAUAUCCAUGCUAGAGUUUUAUUAUUAAGAUUCAGAUUAGCACAGCCACUUUAUUUAUUUAUUAAACAUACUAAGCAAAAGAUAUAUAUAUAAGCACAAAAUCUUUAUUUUGUUUUUUCAUAGUUUAUGUAUUUUAAUAUUCUAACAUAAUAUAAGUAUAAAGAUAGGUAGAAAUACUUAGCGAGAAUAAUGGGGGUGCUCUCUCCCAAGCUGAAUUUUGACGUAAUUUCUCUUGAUGUAGCUAGCAGGUGGCAGAGGUGUAUUUGAAAGUCAGCAGCAUUCUGACAGCGAUUAGAAUGUCCUCCGUCUGCUAGUCUUCUUGAUUCU
This 2216-nucleotide long non-coding RNA is filed under the name Sorghum bicolor (sorghum). RNAcentral's name for it is "long non-coding RNA (SBIC_LNC003330)". The record is from RNAcentral. Lineage: Eukaryota; Viridiplantae; Streptophyta; Magnoliopsida; Poales; Poaceae.